CUCAUUAUUCUUCUGGAGCCAGUCAAAAUCUCAAUUGUUAGUUACUGCUGGUCUUGACUGUUCCAAAUAUGUCUUCUUCUUUUCUUUUUUUUUUUUUUUCUCUCUCCUCUCAGCCAGUCCCUUCUCUCCUUGCUUUUUUCUUGUCGACGUUCUUUCAACUUAUGUUUCUUUAUUCUCCAAAGCUUCCUUGCUUCCUCUUCUUUAUUUCCUAAAUCAGUCCAGUCUAGUGUCUUCAGUCUGCAGGCACCUUUUCAGCACUUCUACCAGUUUACUGGCAUUCUUCUACCAGAACAGUAUGAAGAAAGAUUUUGCUACUGGUGGAUUGCCGUAGGUACAGUGAAGGAUGUGCAGCACCUUGAAAUGAAAAUUUUGCUUCAGCAGUUUGGUGCCUAUCCCUUGCUGUUCACUACUCCUCUAGGCAGAACUAUUUUGACACUUCUUUGUGACUGUCUGAAAUAAAGCACUCCAAACAUUUAGGAUAUUCUUGGUCUGACUUCCAGGAAUUUCCCUGGUUAAUGUGUUACUAAUCUCUUUUUAUAGAGGUCUUUUUAUACAAGGGGAAAUAUUUAUUGUGUGGGUACUAGGUAGAUGCUAUGCUAUGGAAUGGAGUGUACAGCCAAAGAGCAGUUAUUUGGCUGUUAGACUUGGAGACGCUGUAAUCUGAAGUAAUAAAAUAAUUCAAAGGAAAAUCUAUUGAAGGGAAGUAUGAUUACCCGAGUAUCUGCUAAGCUAUGUUUUGGACAUCCUGUUUUACCAGGAAGGUAGUUCCCAUUCAGCUUCCUAAAUCACAGGCAGCACUCUGGUGAAUUCGGGGCCAAGUUCUUGCCUGUCCCAGGAGAAUCAGCAGUGCCCAGCUGUUGCUUCUCACUUUUCUGUCAGGCAUAAACACGCAUCUCCUUUCUGUCAGAACACAAAAUUCAGUAAGUGCUUUUCAGAAUUAAAUAGAGGGGCAUUUAAAAGAGAGGACUUUUAUUAGCUGUUAGGAAUAGGCCUUUGAACUUUGCCAUCCACUUUAUUCUCUUCUGAGAUUUUUCCCUGGGAAUCCAUUUAGUGGGGAAAAAAUGCUAGUGGGUGAAUUUGGGUGAAUAUUUAAAAACAUUACUCAAACUUUCUGAAAAAUAGUAUUGUUCUCAUGCUUGUCUCUGAAUCCAUGGCCCAUUCAAACUUUUCAGGCCUGGCUUUUGGCUUGUGUGGUUCUCUCAUCUUCCCUGGGAAACUUCUUGGUGGUCCCAAGAGAGCUUCUAGGGCUCUCCUGGUAGGUCUCAGUCCUAGAGGCAGAGUGAUGAGAAGCUGGGCCAGAGGAGGAAAGAGGUAGCAAGUGUGAGCACAUGCUUCUUAAUUGGUCUGGCCUGUCCUGCACCUCACUCUAAAGAUAUUUGCAUGAGUUUAAUUGAAGUAAAUAGUCUGCUUUUCCCCUGGACUGGAUUAGGACUGCUCACAAGUUUAACAGACAUCUGCAGCUGAUUUCAGAACUGCAGGAGUGUGGCCUGUGCUUGUCUUCCUGCAGUUGCCGUGCUAGGUCCUUCCAAAUCCCUCUGACUUGGACCACAAUUACCCAUGAAGUUGUCUGUCUGCUUUCUGGCAGGUGGCUUUCAAAGUCUCUGUUCAUGUCAAGGGCAAAGCUCAGUGACUGCAGACACCCAAGAGCUGGAGGACCUGGCCAUUUCUGGAAGUCUGUGUGUGGGCACAAAGACUGUUAGGUGAAAUGGGAACUUCAGAACAACAGCAUCUUGGAAGGUUUGCCAGCUCAAGAUCAGGUUUCACCUGAUUCCAGCAAGUAACGUAGAAACCUGAUACCUAAUUCAUAAUUUGAACUGUAAGCCUGUCAUCUUUCAAAACAGCUGAAGAAAUAAAGAAUGAAAGAUAAAGAAGAUUGUGAUACUGGGUAAAGGCAGAUUUUCCUGUAUUAAGUACAACAGCAUAUAAUCAAAUCAAUGAUGCAAAUUAAUAUAGGAGGAUUAUUAUUUUUAACCAUUAUGUGAAGAUUCAAUAAAAAUAAUCUGAAGCUUUAAUUCAAGCCAAGCAGAAGCUGCUUGAUGAGUUAAUAUCCUCAAAGUAUGGACUAUGUUUUUGUUAAAACCUUUCACUUCUGUAAGCACAAAAUGCCUUGUUUCCUAAAUGUUUGUAGUAGAGUUGUUGCUAUUGUAUUUUAAACACUUUUAUUGCUCUUCGUAUACUGCUACGUUAUGUUUCCAGAUAAAAAUAAUCUUUCCUAUUUGGCAUACUAAACAUGUUUUGGCAUGCGUUUGUGACUUACUGUAUAUCAUUAAACCACUUCUGAGGGAGGAAUCAUGGUCUGACAAUUAGUUUGUAUUUCAGUUGGUUCAUGGGAGGAUAUGGACAUUCACAGUAAUGAGCUUUUUAGUUGCAGUUUUGCAUUAUUGCAUGUAGAUGAGUAGAAACAUCUGUAUUCUUGUUUUUCUGUUAGUCAGACCUAGAAGGCUGCCUUAGAAUACAGCUGAAAGCAAUGAAGGAAUCCAUUGUAGAUCAGUUUCUUCUAUUGCUCACCCAGAGUUUUGGGCUUAAAUCUUUGCUGACUUCAAUGUGUUAUAAAAACAGAGGUGCUCCUUGUCAGACUUUUAGAAACAUCCUCUUAUGGUUUUACAGACAAUUGCAAAUAGAGUUUUCUUGUGUUAAUUCUGACUGCAGAAGUGUGUAUAUAUACAUUAGUGUGUCUCUUUUUUUCCUCUGUUGAUGUGGUGACAGUUGGCAGGUGCUAGCUUCCAAUAAGUGAGAGCUGUAAGCUGCACAGCUUGGUAAUUGGCAUAGAAGUUGGGUAAGGAAAUUGCCUCCUUCUCUCAUACUACAAUAUAGUCUUUUAAGACAAGUUCUUUUCCUUUUCCAGAGAAAAUCAGCAAUUAUCCAGUCUUGUCAAAGAAAGUGCAUACAUAUAAGCAGCAUGGGGAAGAUGUACUCAUCCUCAAAAAAGCUUGCAUUUUGCUGAACCAACUAUGGGCUGACAGCUCAGCAUCACCAAUGAUUUUUGAAAACCAGCCUAAGAACGCCUGAAAGUUAAAGUGGAUGCUGGUUGGAAACUUUAGGUGUAUAUGUGUGAAAUGAGUAGCAAAAGUUAAUUCUGUCAAAGAAAAAAAAAAAGUUUUGAGCUUUCAGUUAUGCAGAGAGUGGGUCCUUUUUUCCCUCCAUUAAAAACAAAAUGUCUAUACGGUGUGUAUGAAAAUGAUUUCCUUGCUCCUCAUUUUUGUUUCUCCUGGUUACUAUAAAAUGGUGGAAAAAAAAAAGUUCUCUUUUUCCAAAUUAGAGGAAAGAGUCUUCUCCUGUGAUUGUUUCAACUUUUUCCAUCUUUAAGAUGAUUUGUUAGGAGUAUGCUUAUAAAUUAAUUUUUAUUGGAACAGCUCUUUGUGUCUCAAAAGCAGCCUGGUGCACAAACAGACUUUGUAUGAAUAGUAAUAAUGAGGUCAAGUAAGAAGAUGCAGCAAUCUGAUGAAUGACCAGGAAGUGAAACAGCUACAGUUAGAAACAUCAAGGCACUUGUGAAAAGCAUAGAAAUAUCUUGGUGUGUUCCUCAUCAAACACAACACCUUCUUCUUUAAAUUCAUGGUACAAGGAAUUUUCUUUCAAGAAAUAUAGGAUUCUUUGGACAGAUGAACAACUGUUCUUUGUAUAAUAUUUGUAUUUGAAACCUUUUAGGAAAUUCUAAUGGAACAUGAUUUCUUUGUCAAUGCAUUACUUAUUUAGGAACCUUGCCAGUACAGUCUUCAGACGGUAACUAUGAGGCUUAUGCAACAUGUUACUUUA
Oxyura jamaicensis (ruddy duck) is the source of this 3756-nucleotide long non-coding RNA. RefSeq lists it as uncharacterized. The transcript has 2 exons. NCBI's taxonomy places the organism in Eukaryota, Metazoa, Chordata, Aves, Anseriformes, Anatidae. The record is from RefSeq and is a predicted model, not a curated record.